ACUGCAAUGGUUGUAAGUGCAAGGACCAGUCAUAAGUCACUUUUUUCAGCACUGUCAUAGCUUCAAACAUUCGCUAAACAAAUGGUCCUAAGUUGACAACUACCUGUCAUGGUAGGCAUUAGGCUGGCCUUCUGAGUGAAAGAAUGGGCAUUUUGAUGUUUGUUUCCAUUCCUAUUCCAAGAGCACCUCGUUGGAAAGCUUAGCUUUAUGCUGUUGUUGUUAAACACCAACUUUGUAUCCAAUAACUGCACUUGCUUCAUGAUUUGAUUAGCUAGGCAGGAAGGUACAGCAGUAAUUUCAUUAGCUGUCUACAAAGCCAUCAGCAAGAGCCUUCCCUAACUCCAGCUGGUGCUCCAGUUGUGACUCUUUUUGGAAUUGGAUACUCUGGGAUUGUUCAUUCAUGCCUUCAUUACCUCCAGAUUGAAUUACUGCAAUAUUCUUAAUAAAGUCCAGGAUAUCUAUGUGACUUUCUCCUCCAAGAUGACUCUACUCACGAGAUGAUGUUCCAAGUCCAGGAGAAAAAGGGUUUAGGAACAGAGAAGAAUUACUUCUCCAUAGUUGCACUGAAACCUGUAAUAAACUUCCCCAUUUCAACCCA
This is a long non-coding RNA of Pantherophis guttatus, 598 nucleotides long. RefSeq lists it as uncharacterized. NCBI's taxonomy places the organism in Eukaryota, Metazoa, Chordata, Lepidosauria, Squamata, Colubridae. The record is from RefSeq and is a predicted model, not a curated record.